AGCCAGGGCCGCGGUUCGCCUGCACGUCACGGCUACUCAAACCCAAGCACGUCCCGAAAGCGGUAUUUUCUGCGUCUGGGAGGUUUUUGCAUCCUCAGUUCCCACCGCUGGGGCUGGCGGCGACCAACUAAGUCCCACUUUAUCAUUAAUGAUGACAAUAACUAAGGCUGCCAGGAACAGCACAUCUGCUGAGCUUUAUCAACACCAGAUUCUCUCAUUUUGCCUUCUGGAUCUCCAUGCUUUUUUAUACCAACAAACAAGAGGAAGAAUAUUCUCUACCCACUUCCUUGACUGAAGCCUGCUCUUUUAUGAAGACAUGGCAUCUCUUCCAACCGUGUCAAACAGAUGCAAUUUAUAUGUCUGCUGCUUCCAUACCCUGAUUAAAUGGGUCAGUGGCAGAAUCAGUAUCCUUAGUCUCCCCUUUGGUUUCAAAUAUGUACUCCUUAUUUCAGUUUCAUGCUCACCUUUCUGUAGAGACCAAGGCAUCUGCCUUUGCAGCUUUACCUCUUCCUCCAGGUUAUAGUUUCCAUUCAUGGAAUCUUUUAGCUGCUGGCUGGCAGUUUUCCUGUCUACCUGACUUCCAUUCCUCUUCUCAUGACUUCAGCUCCCAUGCAGAUGUCUUAUCCUGACAUACUAGCUUCUCCAUUCUAUUUCUGUGUGUGUGUGUCUGUGUGUUUCCCUACUAGUUCAUCCACAUUUCCCUAUGGUCUUU
This 712-nucleotide long non-coding RNA is filed under the name Homo sapiens (human). RNAcentral's name for it is "non-protein coding lnc-LMBRD1-5:22". The record is from RNAcentral. Lineage: Eukaryota; Metazoa; Chordata; Mammalia; Primates; Hominidae.